AUGGGGCUGAAAAAUCAGGCUUUACACGUAAUGCUCGCGAAUCCUCAUCUAUCGCCCUUCAGUGUGGUAGAGCGGCCUACGCUUAGACACGACUGGAUGUUAGUUGACCACUUGAUAAUGAGAUUUAAGGUCAAGGCCAGCGAUUACGUGGAACGCGACCCUCGAGCAUCCGUGCUGAACAUGGCAAGAACGCUAGCUGAACAUUACAAUCAAGAAAGAUGUGCAGCAGAAUGUCUGAUUCUGGUGAAGGAUGGCUCGGGAGCGCAAAAGCCGGCCGUUAGAGACAACAGAGACCGCUACCCGCUCGCGCCCCACUUGGACUUCUGUAGAAGGAACGCGGACGCUAUAGAUUACGCCACCCUGAAACUCUUAUGCGACAUGGGUAUGAAGAACCAAGUGUUUCUCGUAACGGGAUGCGAAUGGGGACGCGGCGGGCCCUGUGAAUCUAACAGCGGAGACGUAGUGUUUCACUUGCACGUUACAACCGAUCACAUCGGAACUGUAGCCAGGCCUCCGGGGGUCCAGAGGGUAUUUGUGACAACGUUCGCGAAUCCAUCUCACGGGCACUUGGAGUUCCUGAAAGCUGCGUGUCAGAAAAGCGCAAGUACAGAAGCUGAUACUCUGAUGGUCGAACUAGCUAAUAUUCUUCCGGGCACUGUUACGGUAUGCACGGCAGACUCGGACGUGAUAGCCGUGUUCACGGCUUGCGGUCGCGAAGGACUCACUUUACGGUUGGCCAACAUGAGCUACAAGGGUGAUCGGCCGAUGCACGGAUCGACUUUCGCCAACCUGCUCAUGGGGUCUCCUGACACUAGCCUGUUACGGCCAAAGGAUUCGGACUUAGAAGGCCGUGAGUCUAGAUUCCGGACGCUGUACGACAUUUCGCCCGACGACGAUCACCUCCGGGAACAGUUAGAGAUUCUCCACGGAGAGUGGGAAAGUCUCGUUCUCGACGAAAGCCAAGACCCCGCGUUGCCGCAACAGCUAGCUAGGUAUUUCUAUCUGGGUGGAAUCAGAGGCUCUGUGUAUGGAGAAUUUCUGACCAGACUGUUUGAGUUAAAUCCGGACGGUAAAGCUGACGUUGCGUGCAGGAUAAUAACAACCAUACUCGUAGGGCCUCAAGGGUGGAAAUCUAAAUGUGCAUUCCUUGACAUUUUCAAGUUGUUACCCGAAUGUCACGACACAGACGACUCAGAGGCAGCUGAUGAGAAUAGGAAAACAUGCUGCGGAGAGGUCGCCGUUGAGGGCAACGGACGUACCGUCGACACCAAACGAUCGCACGCCAACUUGAACAAGCUAAGCAAGCUGUACAUGGAAGCCGUGGUGCCCCGCUUCAGUAACGGCAGAUAUCUACGACUGAAUAAAAUGGGUCCUCACCUCUAC
RNAcentral lists this long non-coding RNA (1383 nucleotides) under Oreochromis niloticus (Nile tilapia). RNAcentral describes it as "lncRNA (ENSONIG00000035232.1)". The record is from RNAcentral. Lineage: Eukaryota; Metazoa; Chordata; Actinopteri; Cichliformes; Cichlidae.